GUGCCAGCCGCCGCGGUAAUACGAGAGGGGCAAGCGUUAUUCAGAAUGAUUGGGCGUAAAGAGCACGUAGGCGGUUUAUUUAUUUUACAUUUGAAAGUUCAAAGCUCCACUUUGAGAAUGAAUGAUUAAGAUAGUAAACUUGAGUAAAUAAAAAGGAAAUAGAAUUCCUGGGGGAGAGGUAAAAUUUGUUGAUCUCAGGAGGAAUACCAAAAGCGAAAGCAGUUUCCUUGUAUUUUACUGACGUUGAGGUGCGAAAGCGUGGGGAUCAAAAGGGAUUAGAUACCCUAGUAGUCC
This 294-nucleotide ribosomal RNA is filed under the name uncultured bacterium. Its description in RNAcentral is "partial 16S ribosomal RNA". It matches the Rfam family "Bacterial small subunit ribosomal RNA", at positions 505 to 796 of the family's 1533-position model. The record is from RNAcentral.